This is a non-coding RNA of Globicephala melas (long-finned pilot whale), 1503 nucleotides long. NCBI's taxonomy places the organism in Eukaryota, Metazoa, Chordata, Mammalia, Artiodactyla, Delphinidae. The record is from RefSeq and is a predicted model, not a curated record.
CGGAGAAGGGACCCCGAGGGCCUGAGGAGGUGGUUCGGUUUCUGGUCGGGAAAAGCGGAAGAGUUUCGGAGGCAGCUGAUUCCCGGCGACCUCUGGUGGCAGUCGGGCCUAGUCGAGCCGGCCGCCGCACGACCCAAAUGCGGGAGCUUCAUGUUCCCCGGUGGGAGAUGGGAUUUGGGGCUGUGAUCGGGGCUGCUCCCUGACCGCUGACUCCCUGUCCGGAUGGUUGAGGUCCAGACGCUGCUCACUUCCAGCCGGGAAAAUCCAGCUCCACCCCCAGGUGGUUUGAACUUUGAGCCUCUUAUAGUCCUGAUGAACAGUUUCGCUUUCCUCAAGUUUAAGACACUUGGAACUUCAAGAAUUGGAGGUUUAUGCAAUUUGAGACCGGUCCGCACUGAGCAGAGUUCAGAGGAUUAAGAGACAGUAAAAUGGCUUCCAGAGGAAAGACAGAGACAAGCAAAUUAAAGCAGAACUUAGAAGAACAGUUGGAUAGACUAAUGCAGCAAUUACAGGACCUGGAGGAAUGCAGAGAGGAACUUGAUACAGAUGAAUAUGAAGAAACCAAAAAAGAAACUCUGGAACAACUAAGUGAAUUUAAUGAUUCACUAAAGAAAAUUAUGUCUGGAAAUAUGACUUUGGUUGAUGAACUAAGUGGAAUGCAACUGGCUAUCCAGGCAGCUAUCAGCCAGGCCUUUAAAACCCCAGAGGUCAUCAGAUUGUUUGCAAAGAAACAACCAGGUCAGCUUCGGACAAGGUUAGCAGAGUUCCCCGACCAGGGAUCGAACCCGCGUCCCCUGCAUUGGAAGGCGGAUUCUUUACUACUGGACCACCAGAUGGAUAGAGAUCUCAUGGUAGGAAAGCUGGAAAGAGACCUGUAUACUCAGCAGAAAGUGGAGAUACUAACAGCUCUCAGGAAACUUGGAGAGAAGCUGACUGCAGAUGACGAGGCCUUCUUGUCAGCAAACGCAGGUGCUAUACUCAGCCAGUUUGAGAAAGUCUCUACAGACCUUGGCUCUGGCGACAAAGUUCUUGCUUUGGCAAGUUUUGAGGUUGAAAAAACAAAAAAAUGACAUGGUGUGAAAACUUAGGACAUUGAUCGCAUUCUUGUUGUAAAUGGCAUUUUUCUUCCGGGGAUUCUGAGUCAUGGCAAAGAAGUCAAGAGAUUCAUGAAGUGUAUUAAUAACCUAAGAAAAGGGAAGCAAUUGGAAGUGGCAGCUCGAGGCCCUCCCUGUGUGUGACCUCUUUGCUGAAACCCAGAGGGUGGUGACUGUAAACUACUAUUUACUCUUCAGUUUUGGGAGAAACACAGAAUAAGUUAUGAGAAGAAGCCGGUUUCUCUCCUGAGUGUUUAUGUCUCUCUGCAUGCUCAGAUAUAUAGAUUUUUCCCAUAUGCAUGUACGUCACCUUAUUUCCUAGGCUCUGACCACUUUAUAUUCUUUCACAUUUUUCUCAAUAUUCUUUUUCUUUAGACUUUAUACAAAUUAAAAACAUUUUUAAAGCUUC